UGCCAUCCUGUUGCCAGCAAGUGAAGUUGGGGACUCAGGUGGAACUGCCGGUGACAAACCGGAGGAAGGUGGGGACGACGUCAAGUCAUCAUGGCCCUUAUGUCCUGGGCUACACACGUGCUACAAUGGCCGGUACAGAGCGCAGCGAAGCCGCGAGGCAAAGCGAAUCGACAAAAAGCCGGUCUCAGUACGGAUUGGAGUCUGAAACCCGACUCCAUGAAGUUGGAAUCGCUAGUAAUCGCGCAUCAGCAUGGCGCGGUGAAUACGUUCCCGGGCCUU
This 279-nucleotide ribosomal RNA is filed under the name uncultured Spirochaeta sp. RNAcentral's name for it is "partial 16S ribosomal RNA". It matches the Rfam family "Bacterial small subunit ribosomal RNA", at positions 1106 to 1382 of the family's 1533-position model. Lineage: Bacteria; Pseudomonadati; Spirochaetota; Spirochaetia; Spirochaetales; Spirochaetaceae. The record is from RNAcentral.